AUGAGAAUUACCUGCCGGAGACAAGUCUGGCGCUCCUUGAAACACGAGGAUGAUAACGAUAAAACCAAAGGAAACAGAACUCCAGCUUUAUGUUGUUCACAGUAUAGGGCACGACUGUCGUGUAGCUAUCAGUUAGUACAAGAACUGGUUUGUGGAUAUAAUGCCGGUUUAUGUGAAUGCAGGGCUGGUUGUAGCAGGUGGCAACAUGGAGGUGAUUCUGAGUGUUGUUCUUCUGCAGAUAUGAACUUGAUGCUUGUAUAUCCAUACAAAUAUUGA
This is a non-coding RNA of Vicia faba (fava bean), 276 nucleotides long. The record is from the annotation of a GenBank genome assembly. NCBI's taxonomy places the organism in Eukaryota, Viridiplantae, Streptophyta, Magnoliopsida, Fabales, Fabaceae.